This is a non-coding RNA of Pelobates cultripes (western spadefoot toad), 2041 nucleotides long. Lineage: Eukaryota; Metazoa; Chordata; Amphibia; Anura; Pelobatidae. The record is from the annotation of a GenBank genome assembly.
AUUUUUGGCAUUUUUUUUGCAACAGGAAGAGCUUAGCUAAUUUACCCACAAUCCAUUAGUCUCUGCAGACUUGGUGGUUAGAGAACGAGUACUGUGAUCUGACACAUGGAAGAAAAGAUAAUGAGUAUAAAUAAAGUCAAGAGGCUCAGGGGGACGAGGGGGGAAGUAUAAUCAUUAAUAUACAAAAGGACACAGUGACACUUUAAAUGUUAGCUUCCUUAAGAUUGUAAAAUAAAGUAGUGUCAAUUCAGAGUAUCUUCUCAUUAGCACAGGUGGAUCCAUCUCUGUCUGUGACAAAAUAUCCAGAAAACAUACACUUAGGGGGUUCUGAAGACUGAUCAAUAACCAGGGGCUAAAACUAUGUUGCAUAUAGAAAAUAGAGUGAAUUUAGCGGAUACAUCAAACACAAGAGGUACAGGCAACCCAGUAGACAAGAUGGAGUUCAGAGUUCCAUAGUAUCUAGGGAACACUAUGCAUAGGAUGAGGAAGAGGCACAAAAUAUGUCUGCACAGUCUUAAUAUAUAUAAAAAAUAAAUAAAAUAAAAAGAUUAAACCUGAGCUGCAGAGGCUGCCACCGUAGUCCCAACAGUGUAGUCCGCAAACAGAUAAAGAAAUUGAGUUCUGCGCAUCCAGUUAGUUUGUCCUGAAAUUAGCAUUGAAAAAGGGCUCGUGACCGAAAUGUUUGUUUGUAUUGUGUCCUCAAAUAAACUGUAUUACCACCUGGGUGUGCACAAACUAACUGGAUGCACAGAACUCCAUUUCUUUCUCUGUAUGUAGGGAACAGAUAGGCCAUGUACAACAUAUUUUUCUAUCACAUUCCUUUUGAAUGUGAUGUGCUGAAUCCCAGUCCUCAAAUUCCAUACCGCUAGAGCAAGUCUUAAUUACUAGUAAUUCAUGUAUUAAUACCGGGUGCAUGUAUGAGCUCUAAUUUCAAAAUUUGUUAAAUAUUUUCAAUUUAUAUAUUUGUUAUGGUUCACCUGUUCCUUAUUUUUUAUUGCUAACUCUUGUCAAAGUUCUGAGUCUGAAAAGGAAAUAAUUCUCCUUGAAAACUCCUUCCAAAAUAACAAUUCGAUAAACCCACGAACCAGUACUUUAAAAGAAAUACAGCCUUUUGCACGUUCAAAAUACAGUUUUUCUUCACAAAAAAAGGAAACAUUUUCCUUUGGGAUUUAAGGCAUUUUUAUAUAUAUAUAUUUUUUUUUACUAUGUGCAGUACUCGAGCAGUGAGUGCAGUAUGGAUGUGACAACUGCCAAAACCAUUUCAUCAUGACCAAAGCAGUAUUUUCCACAGCAAUACUGGAGCUUUAUUUGUAAAUUGUAUAUUCUUGUAUUUGCUGUUUUUGGGCUAGUGACAGACACAUCAUUAGAAUUAGUCACAGGAGGUUAGUGAAGCACCAUUUUAAUUCACACCACUAAAGGGACAAUUGUUCUACUGAAAGAACUUUAUUGGGAUUUUCAAUCUUUCUCUAAAUUACUUUUUGAUUGAUAAUGGAUGGAAUCCUUAGUGUUAGGCGUUCAUUAUCAAUAAUAUAAACUUUUAACAUUUCAUACAAUAUGGAGACGUUUUCCAUUUUCACUGGCUUGGCCUAAAUUAUGAAAGUCAGCCUUAAAAUCACCAAAGUCUGAUGUACAGUGAGCUGACCCACAUGGUGUAUUGACUUGGCUGUAGUUGUUUUGAUAGAGAGCAAGAGAAUUGCUGUAGGAAGAUUCUUUGCUCUACCUGUCCAUCCGUUCUCGGCAUACAUCAUGCUAUGUUGAAUCCAAGAAUUGAUCGUCCGGUAAUGGGAGGGAAUUUUUUUUAGGUAUUUUGUAAAAUCAAUAUAAUUGCCAGCAGUUUGUAUACCCUUUAAUUUAAAAAUAAUGUAUAUGUACCAUUACAGGUACACUCGUAGCUCAGAGCCUGAAACGUUUUAAAGAGCCAUAUUACAAUACGUAAAUAAGCAAUGUACUAUUGUCCAUGACAGGUCCACGAGGACUGGACUUGGGAACCACAGGGAUGUUUAUUAGCCGUUGCAAACUCUGUGCCAACAUUUUUAAAUAC